This 101-nucleotide microRNA precursor is filed under the name Marmota monax (woodchuck). Lineage: Eukaryota; Metazoa; Chordata; Mammalia; Rodentia; Sciuridae. The record is from RNAcentral.
AAUGGGAUACUUGGGUCAUAUGGUAGUUCCAUCUCAGGUUUUGAGAAACUUCCAUACUGCUUUCCAGAAAUGGUUGUACUAUUUGUAAUCCCACCAAUAAU